GUGUCCUACGGGGGGCAGCAGUGGGGGAUAUUGCACAAUGGGGGAAACCCUGAUGCAGCAACGCCGCGUGAGUGAAGAAGUAUUUCGGUAUGUAAAGCUCUAUCAGCAGGGAAGAGAAUCACGGUACCUGACUAAGAAGCCCCGGCUAACUACGUGCCAGCAGCCGCGGUACUACGUAGGGGGCGAGCGUUAUCCGGAUUUACUGGGUGUAAAGGGAGCGUAGACGGCUGGUCACGUCUG
RNAcentral lists this ribosomal RNA (240 nucleotides) under uncultured bacterium. RNAcentral's name for it is "partial 16S ribosomal RNA". It matches the Rfam family "Bacterial small subunit ribosomal RNA", at positions 334 to 591 of the family's 1533-position model. The record is from RNAcentral.